RNAcentral lists this ribosomal RNA (357 nucleotides) under Serratia bockelmannii. RNAcentral's name for it is "bacterial SSU rRNA". It matches the Rfam family "Bacterial small subunit ribosomal RNA", at positions 1 to 354 of the family's 1533-position model. The record is from RNAcentral. Lineage: Bacteria; Pseudomonadati; Pseudomonadota; Gammaproteobacteria; Enterobacterales; Yersiniaceae.
UAAUUGAAGAGUUUGAUCAUGGCUCAGAUUGAACGCUGGCGGCAGGCUUAACACAUGCAAGUCGAGCGGUAGCACAAGAGAGCUUGCUCUCUGGGUGACGAGCGGCGGACGGGUGAGUAAUGUCUGGGAAACUGCCUGAUGGAGGGGGAUAACUACUGGAAACGGUAGCUAAUACCGCAUAACGUCGCAAGACCAAAGAGGGGGACCUUCGGGCCUCUUGCCAUCAGAUGUGCCCAGAUGGGAUUAGCUAGUAGGUGGGGUAAUGGCUCACCUAGGCGACGAUCCCUAGCUGGUCUGAGAGGAUGACCAGCCACACUGGAACUGAGACACGGUCCAGACUCCUACGGGAGGCAGCAG